GCAUCGGACCAUAUGUUUGUGUUGAAUGGAAUUAUGGUGGAUUUCCUCUUUGGUUACAUUUUAUACCCGGGAUCAAGUUCCGAACUGAUAACGAACCAUUUAAGGCAAAAAUGCAGAGGUUCACGGCCAAAAUUGUGGACAUGAUGAAGCAAGAGAAAUUGUAUGCAUCACAAGGAGGACC
This is a long non-coding RNA of Hibiscus syriacus, 181 nucleotides long. RefSeq lists it as uncharacterized. NCBI's taxonomy places the organism in Eukaryota, Viridiplantae, Streptophyta, Magnoliopsida, Malvales, Malvaceae. The record is from RefSeq and is a predicted model, not a curated record. The transcript has 3 exons.